This 254-nucleotide ribosomal RNA is filed under the name uncultured bacterium. RNAcentral's name for it is "partial 16S ribosomal RNA". It matches the Rfam family "Bacterial small subunit ribosomal RNA", at positions 524 to 776 of the family's 1533-position model. The record is from RNAcentral.
GACGGAAGGUGCAAGCGUUGCUCGGAAUCACUGGGCGUAAAGGGUGCGUAGGCGGCCGUGCAAGUCUGGCGUGAAAGCCCCGGGCUCAGCCCGGGAAGUGCGCUCGAAACUGCGCGGCUCGAGUGCCGGAGGGGAGAGUGGAAUUCCUGGUGUAGCGGUGAAAUGCGUAGAUAUCAGGAGGAACACCUGAGGUGAAGACGGGUUGCUGGGCUGACACUGACGCUGAGUGCGCGAAAGCCAGGGGAGCAAACGGG